GACGAACGCUGGCGGCGUGCUUAACACAUGCAAGUCGAACGGAAAGGCCCUGCUUUUGUGGGGUGCUCGAGUGGCGAACGGGGGAGUAACACGUGAGUAACCUGCCCUUGACUUUGGGAUAACUUAAGGAAACUGGGGCUAAUACCGGAUAGGAGCUACUGCUGCAUGGUGGGGGUUGGAAAGUUUCGGCGGUUGGGGGUGGACUCGCGGCUUAUCAGCUUGUUGGUGGGGUAGUGGCUUACCAAGGCUUUGACGGGUAGCCGGCCUGGUCGGGGGACCUGCCACACUGGGACUGGGCUACGGCCCAGACUCCUACGGGAGGCAGCGGUGGGGAAUAUUGCACAAUGGGCGGAAGCCUGAUGCAGCAACGCCGCGUGCGGGAUGACGUCCUUCGGGUUGUAAACCGCUUUCGCCUGUGACGAAGCGUGAGUGACGGUAAUGGGUAAAGAAGCACCGGCUAACUACGUG
This 468-nucleotide ribosomal RNA is filed under the name uncultured bacterium. RNAcentral's name for it is "partial 16S ribosomal RNA". It matches the Rfam family "Bacterial small subunit ribosomal RNA", at positions 28 to 507 of the family's 1533-position model. The record is from RNAcentral.